UUCACAGAGAAAAUUCAAUUAUUUUCUUUUUAGCCUGGAUCUGCUCUUCUCAAAGCAGCCAGCAACUCACUGCAAGCCUCCUGCACCAUCCCUCUGGCAAAUAUCUUGAGUGCAGCUCGGCCAGAGGCUUUAUUUUUAAUCACUUCAUUUUUAUUAACACCCACGCUCCUACAUCUUAGGGUGGAGAGCUCUCAUGGAUGCAGAACGCUUAUGAGUGCAGCUAUGGGAAAUGACAUGGAGAUGACUCCGGUCCUGCUAACCCGGUCCUCUUGAACCUAAUUAAAGCUACGGAAGGUAGCUACCCGCAGCCUGACCCAACGACAUCAAAUGUGUAUGGGGAAAUGCAUCUUUAAAAUCAAGCUGACCCUUUAGGGUGUGCUACCUUGAAGUAUGCGCUACUGCAUUACAGCUGUAUGGGGUUUAGGUUACCAUAUGAAAACUGUUGAUCAUGGCUCAAACCUCCAAUUGAUCACCUGAGGCAAGCAGAGAGUCAGCCCUGAGAGCACAUGUGAAUGUAAUUCAGCUGUGCUACAGGAAGGGGUGGAGCCUGGCUGCACCUCUCCUAGACCCUAUUUAAGGGCUGACUGCCACUGGGGAAGGAUGUUUCUCUGGAGGUUGCUUCUUUGAGGAGUUUCAUUGUGAGCUUUCAACCUUGCCCACUUUUUAGCCCUGCCCAACUGACGAAGCAAGUUUCCCCUGCUCAAGGCUCGGCUUUGCACACGAGUUCACCAGCAAACCAGGGGAUGGCAGCUCAUAAAAGAAGGCCUGGAAAAGCCUCGAUGCUUUUUGAGUAAACAAGGGGCUCUGAAAAAUAUGCACCUUUUUAUAUAACGGAUUUAACAACUUGUUAAUAGCUGAAAAUUAUGAUGGUUAAGAACUGAAGCCAGCCAGUGUAUAGUGGGUUCUGUUCAGCUCUCCCUUGCAGUGUUACCGUGAGCAGCCCUGGGAUCCUUGUCUUGAUCACAUGAGACAUCCCUGGGACGUGCACCCAGAGUCCGAUGCUCUUCAUCCUUUUCAUGCCUUCUUGCCCCAUCACUGCUGCUCAACAGAAAGAAUAACUCAGGUUGACACGGUUUCUACCAGAGACGGGAGCUACUGAAUUAUCUAAGCACAAGCCUAAGUACUCCCUUUUAAAGGAUAACUGAUCUACUAAAAGCAAGUAUUGUUUUGGACAUGCCAUGUUGGAUUUAUAACGCUUCGCUUUGCAUUGCGCUGUUAUCUCCUGCGAUGUCAUUUGGACGAGACGAAGCACCAUGACACAACAUGACAGCUACCGUGGCAAUGAGAGAGAGACUCUGGCUGCAUUCCAGCUCUGUGAUGGCUCAACCUGAGCACAAGAUUCAAGGGACAGGAAUGGCAGUGUGUUUGUAGGUGGUUAUUUCAUUAUCUUCCUCUUCCAAACAACUUGAUUACAAGAGAGGAAAAGCUUUGCCAUCAGCUUUUUUGACAGUUCUGAGGAACAUGCCAGGAAAGAAAGGUGAAGACAGCUCUGUUUUCAUGUACAUUGUCAAACUGGGAAGAAAAAAGAAAGAUCAAGAGAAAGAUGAGCCUGUUCUUCAACAGAAGCUGACGCCUUUGGAAGAAAUAUAAGCCCAUCUUCCAGUUGGAAAGGGCCUUUGCUCAAGAAAACACAAGAUGGCACAAAAAGUCUACCUACUUCAAGUUCCUUUGUGCCAGCCUUCACACCCACCAUGAAAGCCUGGAUGCAGGAUGAUGCUUAGAGGGUCACACCGGUUCCUUGCUCCAAAAGCAGAGCCGUCUCCAAGCAGGUAGCCACGCUCUAUUCAUUCUGCAGAUCCUACCAUUUUCCAUGUCCAUUUAAUAUCAGCUAGCUCCUCUUAAGAUGUUGUUGUUCUGCUAUUGCUGGACUCAUUUAUUGUGCUCUGUGUCUCACAUACUCUCUAGAUGAAAACAAGUAAUUGGCAAGUCCAGCCUGCCCAUAUGCCAUUCAGUUUGUGUCUGGUGGUGUCCUGACCUCAGUUUUGUCCCUGCUGCUUUAAGUCCAACCGAGCAGCUGAGGAAUGCUCCUGUACCUGAAACUAAGGAAGCUAUUCUUUCCCCUGGUCAUAUAAACUUAACUUGCUUUUCAAAGAUAAAUGGUAGUUUAUCAUUCAGCUCCUCAAACAUCUGAGGAAAUGCACUGGAAAUGCUUGGCACAUACGGUACUUUUAUGUGGCUUAUUUUUUCACUUAUCUACAAGUCUGCACAGUAUUAUUGUUAUUUGGCACACAGCAAAAGGAAGUCCCCUGUGCAUAACAUGAUUUAGUCUGGCCGAUAAAGUGGAAGUGGGUUUCUUGGUGGCAUAUUAAGUUCCGCUGGAUUCCAUUUGCACAAGAAGCAGAAUUGCGCUUUCAUGUUCCUUUAUGAUGAUACAUUUCCUGUCAGGCAUCCUCAUCUUUUUCUGUUUCCCUAAAUAUUAAAAUUUCUCCCAGCGGUGAUUCUCUUCAUUUCCCAUUCCCAUAUGUUUGUUCUUCAGCAUCAACCCCAAUUUGUACAGGGCUGGAGACAGCCCUUUUCUACAUGCAGUGAUGUGCAGCCAGCAGAUUGAGUGAGACCAACGAGGCUACACUGAGCCACGUAACACACCGCAGAGCUGGGUUCUCCCUACUGUGCCGUAGAAUCACCACAGUUGAAAAAUACUUCUGUGAUCAUCCAGUCCGGCCACCCACCUAUCCCCAGUCAUCCCCUCUAGUUUGUGUCCCACAGUAUGGUGUCUACACGUUCCUUGAAUACCUCCAGGGAUGGUGACUCCACCACACCCCCGGGCAGCCAGUUUGAACACUUUAACCACUCUUAGUGCCUAGUGCAUUGGAAUAAAUAAUCUCUAUGUGAGUUUUAUUGCGCACCACAGAAUGGAUGCUACCAGUUUUCUCUUCUAGAUGGCCUCACACAGUGCAGUUACAGUGGGAGCUUUGACCUGAAAUCAGAGGACAGCAUCUACAGUCUCUGUAGUCCUUCUUUCCCCUAUUAACUCAUCUCUCCUUCCCUCCUGCCCUACGGUUUUACCUAUUAUUCCGUGCCUAAUAAAGUAGUAGCAAAG
This is a long non-coding RNA of Coturnix japonica (Japanese quail), 3040 nucleotides long. RefSeq lists it as uncharacterized. The record is from RefSeq and is a predicted model, not a curated record. NCBI's taxonomy places the organism in Eukaryota, Metazoa, Chordata, Aves, Galliformes, Phasianidae.